This 438-nucleotide unclassified non-coding RNA is filed under the name fungal sp. Its description in RNAcentral is "partial internal transcribed spacer region". The stretch from base 1 to 46 matches the Rfam family "Eukaryotic small subunit ribosomal RNA", at positions 1786 to 1831 of the family's 1831-position model. Lineage: Eukaryota; Fungi. The record is from RNAcentral.
AAGUCGUAACAAGGUCUCCGUAGGUGAACCUGCGGAGGGAUCAUUAACACGUUUCCAUAACGUUUAACUUACUCCAACCAACCGCGUGAAUUAAUUGAAUCAAAAUUCGACCUGUCAGAAUUAGAUCUGCUUGGAAUGCACGGAGUGAUGAGUAUGUCUAAUGAAAGUAUGUAGUGAGCAAUUGCUAUGUAUUUUCAUUCUUCAUACGGUGUCUCCUCGCUGUUGUAUUAUCACAGUUUACUGUGAUAAAUACAAAAGAUCUCUUUCUAAUAGGCUUUUAACUACUUAGUUCCCUUCAUCGCUGGAACGAAAAAACCCCUUUCACCGCAAUAACCAAUCGACUGAUACGCAUAUUCAUGCAAGUGAAAGCUUGUACUGAUAGCGACCAAUUAAUCAAAUAUCUAAGCACAACUCUUAGCAACGGAUAUCUUGGUUCUC